RNAcentral lists this ribosomal RNA (431 nucleotides) under uncultured bacterium. Its description in RNAcentral is "partial 16S ribosomal RNA". It matches the Rfam family "Bacterial small subunit ribosomal RNA", at positions 29 to 507 of the family's 1533-position model. The record is from RNAcentral.
AACGAACGCUGGCGGCAGGCUUAACACAUGCAAGUCGAGCGCCCCGCCAGGGGAGCGGCAGACGGGUGAGUAACGCGUGGGAACGUACCUUUUGGUUCGGAACAACUCCGGGAAACUGGAGCUAAUACCGGAUAAGCCCUAACGGGGAAAGAUUUAUCGCCGAAAGAUCGGCCCGCGUCUGAUUAGCUAGUUGGUGAGGUAACGGCCCACCAAGGCGACGAUCAGUAGCUGGUCUGAGAGGAUGAUCAGCCACACUGGGACUGAGACACGGCCCAGACUCCUACGGGAGGCAGCAGUGGGGAAUAUUGGACAAUGGGCGCAAGCCUGAUCCAGCCAUGCCGCGUGAGUGAUGAAGGCCUUAGGGUUGUAAAGCUCUUUUGUCCGGGAAGAUAAUGACUGUACCGGAAGAAUAAGCCCCGGCUAACUUCGUG